CUUGCGCUUCCUAGGUAAGCACUCUACCACUGAGCUAAAUCCCCAGCCCCACAUGAACAGUUUUUAACUAGGAAGUUUUAACUUCAAAACAACAACAACAGCAACAACAACACAGCACCCAGAUUUCGGGCUGGUGGGAUCGCUCAGUGGGUCAAGGCCUUCCCACCAAACAGCUAAGUUUGAUUUCCAGGACCCACGUUGUAACUCUUUAUAACUCAGGUUCCAUUUGCUUGCUUGCUUGCUUGUUUGCUUGUCAUGGGGACUGAACCCAUUAUAUUGAACUCAGUAGACAAGGACUCUGCUAUUGAGCUACAUCGGAAUUCCCAACAUUUGUUAGUGUUUCGCAUUCUUAGGUCUUUUCCAGAAGUGGAGUCUGCACCAAGACAUCAGUGUCAAGGCGUUUGUUUAUUUGGAGGUAAAUCCUAGGAAUCUGCAGUAAGGGUGUGGGAAAUAAGACUGGCAGGGAAAGGAGGAAGUUGAUACAGGUUGUAAGAGUUACCAAGAGGUUGCCAUCUUGUAACUUAAAUCUGGGAACUCUGGGAUGUGUAGAUUAUGCUGCUCAAUGUUAUCUCAUCCAAGAGACAAAGGCACGCGAGUAUCCAUCAGACUCACCAGUCACUGAUGGGUGGUCAUUCCUGUAUAAGAGAGAAAGGAGACCAUUUAACCUGUUGUGCAGAAGUAGAGUGGUCUCUGGAGCCCAGAGAAAGCUGGAACAAUAAUGAAGACCCAGGCAUAGUAGUGUGUACUUCUGUCAGCACUUAGGAAGCUGAGGCAGGAGGAUUGCAUGAUUAAGUCUACCCUGGGCAACCUAGCAAAACCUUAUGACAAAACCAAACCAAGCCAAACCAAACCAAGCCAAGCCAAACCAAACCAACAACAACACAGUAAAAAAAUGGUCAGGGAUAUUAGCUCAAAGUUAGAGAAUUUGCCUGGUCUCUGUGAGACCCUGGGUUCAAUUCCACUUGGCAAUAGAUAAGAGUUGAGUAGAAGUUGCCUCGUGACACAAGUCGCCCUCCCUUUUGCCCUGCUCUUCUGCACUUCCCUCCUGGCAUUGUCUGGUUCAGCACUGUGGAUCUGGCAGGUGCGACCACUGGCCCUCAUAUACGCUUGGGUACUUUAUAAGACACAUGGGUCCUGCUUUCAAAUAUUUUGUUUUUCAUUCUGCAUCUCGAAGGAUAACUAGUCCUAUUAUUCCAAGUAGGACUCAUUGAUCCUCCCACUUCUCUGGUCCUGUACUGAGUCCUUGGAGCCUCAGCUUGCGCUCCCACCGUGCUGUUACGUGAAACUCAGGUUGUGUCAUUUAGGCUACAGAAUCAUUCCCAAAGUAUAAAGAGAAAUAAGUUUUCUCUUUUAUUUCUGCAGGGACUCAUGUAGCCCAGGUUUGCCUGACACUCUAUCCUCCUAGCUCAGCCUCCCUCGUGUAAGGAUUAUAGGUAAAUACUACCAUGGCCAAGUAUGCUAAACUCUCAAAAAUAAUUCUGGAAAGAAAAAAAAAGGAAUACUUUUCUAAUUUUUUGUUAUUAGUUUUUGUUUUGCUUUGCUUUUUGAGUCAAGGUCCCCUGUUUGAAAUCUUUCUGUGGCCAAAGAUGACCUUGAACUCCCGAUUUCCCUGUCUCCAUCUUUCUUGUGCAGGGACCGUAGGCAUAUGUCACCCAUAUACGGCUUAAUUUCACAAAGUUUAUCUCAGAUUGGUUUUAAAACUUACCAUCACUCCCACAAAUACAUAUAAACACAGCUGGAAAUCCAUCUUAUUGUCUGUCCGCAGAAGGGAAGCUUCCGGAAGGAUAAAGGACACUCUUCGUUCUUAUCAUUUUGUAAAGCACUUCCACUCUGGUUGGACUGUGACAGUUCCAGAAACUAAAGCAAUUCCCCAAACCUAGCAACAUUCCAGAGAUAACAGAGUGCAUAGUCACUGGAUUGGAGCCUUCCCUGAAGAAGCACAGCUGUUUCUGAGUCACUCCACGGAACUACGCUUUUGCCUCAGGCCUCAGACGGUGCUGCAUCUCGGCUUGAGUUCCUACCCCAGAACAAAGCCUGACCCAACCUCCUGCGUGACUUUGUUGCUGUUCACCCUCAGUUCUCACUCAAAACUUCAGCUCUACUCCCAACCUUGAAUUUGACCACCAUUGCUGGAACUCCCUCCACAGACCAGGCUGGCCCGGAACUCAGAGAUUUGCCUGCCUCUGUCUCUUGCAUAAUGGGAUUAAAAGUGUGCACACCA
This 2221-nucleotide small RNA is filed under the name Rattus norvegicus (Norway rat). Its description in RNAcentral is "uncharacterized LOC108352872". Lineage: Eukaryota; Metazoa; Chordata; Mammalia; Rodentia; Muridae. The record is from RNAcentral.